CACGUAGUUAGCCGGUGCUUUUUCUGCAGGUACCGUCACUUUCGCUUCUUCCCUGCUAAAAGAGGUUUACAACCCGAAGGCCGUCGUCCCUCACGCGGCGUUGCUGCAUCAGGCUUUCGCCCAUUGUGCAAUAUUCCCCACUGCUGCCUCCCGUAGGAGUCUGGGCCGUGUCUCAGUCCCAGUGCGGCCGGUCACCCUCUCAGGCCGGCUACCCGUCGUCGCUUUGGUGAGCCGUUACCUCACCAACAAGCUGAUAGGCCGCGAGUCCAUCCUUGACCAAAAUUCCUUCCAGCAACUCACCAUGCGGUGGAAGCUCGUAUCCGGUAUUAGACGUCGUUUCCAACGCUUAUCCCAGAGUCAAGGGCAGGUUACUCACGUGUUACUCACCCGUUCGCCACUAAUCCACCCAGCCAAGCCUGGGCUUCAUCGUUCGACUUGCAUGUGUUAAGCACGCCGCCAGCGUUCGUCCUGAGCCAGGAUCAAACUCU
RNAcentral lists this ribosomal RNA (488 nucleotides) under uncultured Plantibacter sp. Its description in RNAcentral is "partial 16S ribosomal RNA". The record is from RNAcentral. Lineage: Bacteria; Bacillati; Actinomycetota; Actinomycetes; Micrococcales; Microbacteriaceae.